This 362-nucleotide long non-coding RNA is filed under the name Rattus norvegicus (Norway rat). Its description in RNAcentral is "long non-coding RNA NONRATT023551". The record is from RNAcentral. Lineage: Eukaryota; Metazoa; Chordata; Mammalia; Rodentia; Muridae.
AAAUUGAACUCAAGCAGGCCCAGGAGAAGUUGCUGGACAACGCCAGGAUGCACUCCUCCCUCAUGGCAGAGUGGAAGCUCUGUCAGCAGAAAGUCAAGGAGCUGGAGUUAGAAGGACUUAGGCAGACGCAGAGCAUUAAGUCCCAGCAGGGCCUACAGGAAAAGCUGGCUCGGGAGAAAUCGAAAACAGCGGAAGCACAGGAAAAGAUUUUGGACCUGCAGCAGAAACUAGACCACGCUCGACAAGUCUGCCUUUCAGAUGUUUGCAUUUUGCGGAGGAAGCAGCUAGAGGAAGAGAUCAAGGAAGCAAAGAGCACAGAGGCCAGGCUUAAGCAGCAGUGCCAGGAGGAGCAGCAGAGGAGG